RNAcentral lists this ribosomal RNA (421 nucleotides) under Maldanidae sp. 127-GSR-0380. RNAcentral's name for it is "partial 16S ribosomal RNA". It matches the Rfam family "Bacterial large subunit ribosomal RNA", at positions 1956 to 2597 of the family's 2925-position model. The record is from RNAcentral. Lineage: Eukaryota; Metazoa; Annelida; Polychaeta; Maldanidae.
GCAUAUAAUCUGCCCUUUAAUUGGGGGCUAGAAUGAAAGGAUAAACGAGAAUAUUCCUGUCUCAAAAAUAUAAAAAUAAAUUUAUCUUUAGGUGAAAAAGCCUAAAUAACCUUAAAAGACAAAAAGACCCCGUAGAGCUUAACUAGCUCCCAUAAAAGAGAAAUUAAAAAUAUUCUCUAUUAUACCUCUGCCUAGUUUAGCUGGGGCGGCUAGAGAGCAAUUACCCUCUCCUUCAAAUAAAGGAAACCACCCAAUAAAAGAUCCUAUAUAGAUUAAAGAACAAAGCUACCUCGGGGAUAACAGGCUAAUAUCUUUUAAGAGUACUUAUCGAAAAAGAAGUUUGGCACCUCGAUGUUGGCUUAGAGAACCCAGAGGGUAGCAGAAGCUCUCAACGGCAGGUUUGUUCAACCUUUAAAUCUCU